AAGUUCGGUACUUUAAUAUAAAAGACGAAGUUUGCAUUUUCGCAAUGAGUUUACUCUCCCGAACUUG
This 67-nucleotide transfer RNA is filed under the name Saccostrea sp. ID163. Its description in RNAcentral is "tRNA-Ala". Lineage: Eukaryota; Metazoa; Mollusca; Bivalvia; Ostreida; Ostreidae. The record is from RNAcentral.